This 101-nucleotide non-coding RNA is filed under the name uncultured Cytobacillus sp. RNAcentral describes it as "SAM riboswitch (S box leader)". It matches the Rfam family "SAM riboswitch aptamer (S box leader)". From Rfam's summary of the family: The SAM riboswitch is found upstream of a number of genes which code for proteins involved in methionine or cysteine biosynthesis in Gram-positive bacteria. The SAM riboswitch acts at the level of transcription termination control. The predicted structure consists of a complex stem-loop region followed by a single stem loop terminator region. The record is from RNAcentral. Lineage: Bacteria; Bacillati; Bacillota; Bacilli; Caryophanales; Bacillaceae.
UCUUAUCCAGAGAGGUGGAGGGACUGGCCCUUUGAAGCCUCGGCAACAGGCAAUUUAUUGCACUGUGCCAAUUCCAGCAAGCUGUAGCUUGAAAGAUAAGG